CCUACGGGGGGCAGCAGUGAGGAAUAUUGGUCAAUGGACGAGAGUCUGAACCAGCCAAGUAGCGUGAAGGAUGACUGCCCUAUGGGUUGUAAACUUCUUUUAUAUGGGAAUAAAACGUUCCACGUGUGGGAUUUUGUAUGUACCAUAUGAAUAAGGAUCGGCUAACUCCGUGCCAGCAGCCGCGGUAAUACGGAGGAUCCGAGCGUUAUCCGGAUUUAUUGGGUUUAAAGGGAGCGUAGGUGGAUUGUUAAGUCAGUUGUGAAAGUUUGCGGCUCAACCGUAAAAUUGCAGUUGAAACUGGCAGUCUUGAGUACAGUAGAGGUGGGCGGAAAUCGUGGUGUAGCGGUGAAAUGCUUAGAUAUCACGAAGAACUCCGAUUGCGAAGGCAGUUCACUGGACUGCAACUGACACUGAGGCUCGAAAGUGUGGGUAUCAAACAGGAUUAGAUACCCUAGUAGUC
This 460-nucleotide ribosomal RNA is filed under the name uncultured bacterium. RNAcentral describes it as "partial 16S ribosomal RNA". It matches the Rfam family "Bacterial small subunit ribosomal RNA", at positions 338 to 795 of the family's 1533-position model. The record is from RNAcentral.